GAGGGUAUACCUCAGCGGUAGAGCGCAUGCUUAGCAUGCACAAGGUCCUGGGUUCAAUCCCCAGUACCUCUA
Transfer RNA from Camelus ferus (Wild Bactrian camel), 72 nucleotides. It matches the Rfam family "tRNA". From Rfam's summary of the family: Transfer RNA (tRNA) molecules are approximately 80 nucleotides in length. Their secondary structure includes four short double-helical elements and three loops (D, anti-codon, and T loops). Further hydrogen bonds mediate the characteristic L-shaped molecular structure. tRNAs have two regions of fundamental functional importance: the anti-codon, which is responsible for specific mRNA codon recognition, and the 3' end, to which the tRNAs corresponding amino acid is attached (by aminoacyl-tRNA synthetases). tRNAs cope with the degeneracy of the genetic code in two manners: having more than one tRNA (with a specific anti-codon) for a particular amino acid; and 'wobble' base-pairing, i.e. permitting non-standard base-pairing at the 3rd anti-codon position. NCBI's taxonomy places the organism in Eukaryota, Metazoa, Chordata, Mammalia, Artiodactyla, Camelidae. The record is from Rfam.